This 443-nucleotide ribosomal RNA is filed under the name Brachythecium frigidum. RNAcentral describes it as "eukaryotic LSU rRNA". The stretch from base 1 to 94 matches the Rfam family "5.8S ribosomal RNA", at positions 60 to 154 of the family's 154-position model. The record is from RNAcentral. Lineage: Eukaryota; Viridiplantae; Streptophyta; Bryopsida; Hypnales; Brachytheciaceae.
ACGUAGUGUGAAUUGCAGAAUUCCGCGAAUCAUCGAGUCUUUGAACGCAAGUUGCGCCCGAGGCUUGUCCGAGGGCAUUUCCGCUAGAGCGUCACCGCGCCCCCCACCGAUCCACUCCCGCCGCGAGGCGCGAGUCGGGUCGAGUGCAAGUGGCCGUCCCGGCGAAGCGGCCUUCUUUCACGAGGAGGCNUCACUUUUCUAAGGGUCGGCUGAAAUGGAUGGAAUUGGGCCGCCGUGGUGACACAGUCCGCGAUCGGGUGAUUUUGUCGCGAGCCUCCUUCGGGAGGCUCUUGGUGAAUUUUUCUAAGUGCUUGGCUGCGUCCCCCAGUUGGCUCGGGUUACCUCAUGCAGGUCGAGCGCGCCCCCGCGGCGCGCUGUCACGCAUCAGACCUCUAAUCGGAAAAGACUACCCGCUGAGUUUAAGCAUAUCAAUAAGCGGAGGA